AGGUUUACUAACAGUACCAGGAUAUAAAAAAGGGGGAGGGCCGGUUGGUAGGUCAACUUGGAGUAAUACUUGAAAAAGUAUAUUAACUUAUCAUACAUGCAUGUAUGAAGUUCAAUCGGAAGGCCCCUUUUCCAUAUACAUACAUACUCCUCUGAUUAUAUAAGUGUAACUUGUUGUACUGCAUAAAUCCAUGAUUUGAAAAAUAUCAGGAUGUCAGAAAUACAACCCGAUAGUUUGGGACAAUCAUUUGAUAUUUUCAAUGGGCGGAAGGAUAGGAGGAUAAUCUGAUAUUGAAACAAUACAUGCACUAGCUGUUCAAAGACAUUUUUGUUUGAUAUUUAAUUAAUAUGAAGGAUAUCUUGGUGUGGCGUAGGUAUGAAGUUAGGGGACAGCACUCGUCUGUUUAUAAGGAUUUAUCGUUGUGGUAAACGCAUCAACUCGGAAGUUUCCGAAUGAUACGUUGCUUUCGCCGGGAAAUUUGAAUAUUCUGACACGAAUGCAACUGAAACUUCGUAAGGGUUCUGUUAAUCCACAAAUCAUAAUAUGCAUGUUAUAGAAGAAUCAUUUCGGAAGAAAAUGAGGGCUGUUGUAAGGUAUAUAGUAAUUUAUUCAUAUUUUUAAUUAUUUUUUAUCAAAAGUAGGGAAGGCAAUUCAAGAUGGCGACUUAGAUCCCUUUAGGUUUUUUCAGUAUAUGGAUAUGGAUAGUAAACUGCACAUUGCCAGAAAACAAAGAAAUAGUGAUGGCAACUUUAAAUACGUUAAUAUAGUAAUGCAAAUAGACAGGAAAUAAUAAAAAAAUAAAUUAAAAACAUUGAUUUACAAAAUUUUAAUCUGCUAACCGAG
Molecule: long non-coding RNA, 843 nt
Filed under: Mytilus galloprovincialis (Mediterranean mussel)
Lineage: Eukaryota; Metazoa; Mollusca; Bivalvia; Mytilida; Mytilidae
Source: RNAcentral